CGCUGGCGGCGUGCCUAAUACAUGCAAGUCGAGCGAAUCAAUAGGAGCUUGCUCCUGUUGAUUAGCGGCGGACGGGUGAGUAACACGUGGGCAACCUGCCUGUAAGACUGGGAUAACACCGGGAAACCGGUGCUAAUACCGGAUAAUCCUUUUCCUCUCAUGAGGAAAAGCUGAAAGUCGGUUUCGGCUGACACUUACAGAUGGGCCCGCGGCGCAUUAGCUAGUUGGUGAGGUAACGGCUCACCAAGGCGACGAUGCGUAGCCGACCUGAGAGGGUGAUCGGCCACACUGGGACUGAGACACGGCCCAGACUCCUACGGGAGGCAGCAGUAGGGAAUCUUCCACAAUGGACGAAAGUCUGAUGGAGUAACGCCGCGUGAGCGAUGAAGGCCUUCGGGUCGUAAAGCUCUGUUGUUAGGGAAGAACAAGUACCGGAGUAACUGCCGGUACCUUGACGGUACCUAACCAGAAAGCCACGGCU
This 481-nucleotide ribosomal RNA is filed under the name uncultured bacterium. RNAcentral describes it as "bacterial SSU rRNA". It matches the Rfam family "Bacterial small subunit ribosomal RNA", at positions 34 to 498 of the family's 1533-position model. The record is from RNAcentral.